Molecule: ribosomal RNA, 139 nt
Filed under: uncultured bacterium
Lineage: Bacteria
Description: partial 16S ribosomal RNA
Rfam family: Bacterial small subunit ribosomal RNA
Source: RNAcentral
UGGGGAAUAUUGCACAAUGGGGGAAACCCGUGAUGCAGCAACGCCGCGUGAAGGAAGACGGUUUUCGGAUUGUAAACUUCUGUUCUUAGUGAAGAAUAAUGACGGUAGCUAAGGAGCAAGCCACGGCUAACUACGUGCC